UUAUUCACAUAAAUCUAGGCGGGCAAUGUGAUCCCGCCCCUUGUGAUUUGCAUCACGUGAUUCCUAUAAACUGGCGCCAUUUUCUAUGCACGGUCUCAUUCUGCCGCAGUCCGCGUCGUGUCCAGUAGCCGUCCUUUGUCUCCGAGCAAACACUGAGAUUUUUCAACAUGUCUGACGAAGGAAAGCUUUUCAUUGGUGGUCUGAGCUAUGAUACCACAGAGCAGUCUUUGGAGGAGGCGUUCUCAAAAUAUGGAACAAUUGCCAAAGUUGAUGUAAUCAGAGACCGUGAGACAGACCGGUCAAGGGGCUUUGGCUUUGUCACAUUUGAAAAUCCAGAAGAUGCAAAGGAUGCCAUGGCUGCAAUGAAUGGAAAGUCCGUCGAUGGCCGUAUGAUCCGUGUGGAUGAAGCCGGCAAGUCGGGUGGAAGAUCUGGUGGAUUCAGAGGUGGUUCUGGAGGUGGCAGGGGAUUCUUCAGGGGCGGCAGAGGAAGAGGUGAGAGUGGUGGAGGAUAUGGUGGAGACAGAAGUUUUGGUGGUGACAGGAGCUAUGGCGGAGAUCGCAGCUAUGGCGGUGGUGAUAGAGGCUAUGGUGGUGGUGACAGGAGCUACAGCGGAGGUGAGCGUUCAUACGGCGGUGGCGGAUACUCAUCCAACAGAAGCGGAGGCUACUCUGGCGGCGGUGGAUACAGAGACAACAGGAACCAGGGAGGUUACGACCGUUCCGGUGGUUCCUACAGAGACAGCUAUGACAGCUACGACUGAAAGGCUGAUCGUGCUGCCUUAGAUUGGUGAUGGAAGCUAAACCUUUGUGAUGCAAGCAACUCUGUUUCAUGGAUGUGAUUGAGAGAACUAUCAUGGAAAUGAAAAUUCCCAAAUGAUUGCAAAAACACUUCCCUAAAGGAUUCAGCAGGACCUCUAGGGUGAAGUUUGGUUAUUUUGCUGGAAGGGUUGUAAGAGGGCUUCAUUUCAAAUGUCUUGUAUGAACUUUGGCGCUAAUAAAGUAAUGGCUUUUUUAAA
Molecule: non-coding RNA, 1016 nt
Organism: Misgurnus anguillicaudatus (oriental weatherfish)
Lineage: Eukaryota; Metazoa; Chordata; Actinopteri; Cypriniformes; Cobitidae
Source: RefSeq, a predicted model, not a curated record